RNAcentral lists this ribosomal RNA (253 nucleotides) under uncultured bacterium. Its description in RNAcentral is "partial 16S ribosomal RNA". It matches the Rfam family "Bacterial small subunit ribosomal RNA", at positions 524 to 776 of the family's 1533-position model. The record is from RNAcentral.
UACGUAGGUGGCAAGCGUUGUCCGGAAUUAUUGGGCGUAAAGCGCGCGUAGGUGGUUUCUUAAGUCUGAUGUGAAAGCCUACGGCUCAACCGUGGAGGGUCAUUGGAAACUGGGGAGCUUGAGUGCAGGAGAGAAGAGUGGAAUUCCACGUGUAGCGGUGAAAUGCGUAGAGAUGUGGAGGAACACCAGUGGCGAAGGCGACUCUUUGGCCUGUAACUGACACUGAGGCGCGAAAGCGUGGGGAGCAAACAGG